UAAGCAUAUCAAUAAGCGGAGGAAAAGAAACCAACAGGGAUUGCCUCAGUAACGGCGAGUGAAGCGGCAACAGCUCAAAUUUGAAAUCUGGCCCUCCCCGGGGGGCCCGAGUUGUAAUUUGCAGAUUGUGCUUUUGGCGAGGCGCCUUCCGAGUUCCCUGGAACGGGACGCCACAGAGGGUGAGAGCCCCGUCUGGUCGGCCGCCGAGCCUCUGUAAAGCACCUUCGACGAGUCGAGUAGUUUGGGAAUGCUGCUCAAAAUGGGAGGUAUAUGUCUUCUAAAGCUAAAUACCGGCCAGAGACCGAUAGCGCACAAGUAGAGUGAUCGAAAGAUGAAAAGCACCUUGAAAAGGGGGUUAAACAGUACGUGAAAUUGUUGAAAGGGAAGCGCUCGCGACCAGACUUGGGCCCGGCGGAUCACCCAGCGUUCUCGCUGGGGCACUCCGCCUCGUCCCAGGCCAGCAUCGGUUCGCGCCGGGGGACAAAGGCGGCGGGAACGUGGCUCCCCCGGGAGUGUUAUAGCCCGCCGUGCAAUGCCCUGGGGCGGACCGAGGAUUCGCGCAUCUGCAUGGAUGCUGGCGUAAUGGUCACCAGCGACCCGUCUUGAAACACGGACCAAGGAGUCGUCUUCGUAUGCGAGUGUUCGGGUGUUAAACCCCUACGCGUAAUGAAAGUGAACGCAGGUGAGAGCUUCGGCGCAUCAUCGACCGAUCCUGAUGUUCUCGGAUGGAUUUGAGUAGGAGCAUACGGGGCCGGACCCGAAAGAAGGUGAACUAUGCCUGUGUAGGGUGAAGCCAGAGGAAACUCUGGUGGAGGCUCGCAGCGGUUCUGACGUGCAAAUCGAUCGUCAAACAUGGGCAUGGGGGCGAAAGACUAAUCGAACCUUCUAGUAGCUGGUUUCCGCC
This 904-nucleotide ribosomal RNA is filed under the name Moelleriella sinensis. Its description in RNAcentral is "partial large subunit ribosomal RNA". It matches the Rfam family "Eukaryotic large subunit ribosomal RNA", at positions 35 to 962 of the family's 3401-position model. Lineage: Eukaryota; Fungi; Ascomycota; Sordariomycetes; Hypocreales; Clavicipitaceae. The record is from RNAcentral.